This 408-nucleotide long non-coding RNA is filed under the name Mytilus galloprovincialis (Mediterranean mussel). The record is from RNAcentral. Lineage: Eukaryota; Metazoa; Mollusca; Bivalvia; Mytilida; Mytilidae.
GAUUUAUAAUAAUGUAAAACAUUUAUCCAAACUACCAAAAGUCUAAAAUAAACAGUUUACAGAGCAUGGGGUAGAUAAUAUGUAGGUUCGUUUCGUGUGUAUUCUAGUCCAGUCGCCAUCUAAUUAACUAUCGAUUUGACCUCAGAUGACCAUAUAAGCGAUGUAAACAUGAAUAAAGAUAUGAAUAGAUUAAACCAACACGUGCAAUUGGAUUUUUUUUUAGGUCUGUUUGAGUUUAUUUUAUAGAUUAAAAAUAUAUGUUUCUCAUUGUCUUUAACCGUAUAAGAAUGAUUUUAUAUGGAUCGAAUCAGUAAUCAAAUGAUUUACCGUAGUUUCACUUUCAUUGUUGACAUUCUUUUUCUUUAAAUAACCAGUACACGUACAAUGCAUGCGUUGUCAAUCUCUAGC